This 356-nucleotide long non-coding RNA is filed under the name Cicer arietinum (chickpea). RNAcentral describes it as "long non-coding RNA (CARI_LNC000703)". Lineage: Eukaryota; Viridiplantae; Streptophyta; Magnoliopsida; Fabales; Fabaceae. The record is from RNAcentral.
AAUAGAUGAAAAGAUUAAAACCAAAAAGUUUUUUAAAAGGAAAGAUCGUUCUGCAAAUAAAACUGAAUCAAUUUUGAAAAAUCUGCAAAACGAAGAACGUUCUUCAGGUUGUUCUUAAAACGAAGAAUGUUCUGAAACAAAAGCGGAUCAUUCUACAACAAGUCUGGAAAAAGGAGAACGAUCUGAAAUUUCAUCAAAAUCAAUUUCAAAACCGUUUAAAACUCAGAUUUUGAAAACUUCUCCAAGACCAACAACAAAGUGUUCCUAUUGUUCCAAGAAAGGCCACUUCGAGUCAACUUGCUAUUUUAAAAAGAGAUCAAGUUUUAAAAAAUCUUCUAAAAGAAGAUAUACUAACC